This is a long non-coding RNA of Sciurus carolinensis (gray squirrel), 1981 nucleotides long. RefSeq lists it as uncharacterized. The transcript is spliced from 3 exons. The record is from RefSeq and is a predicted model, not a curated record. Lineage: Eukaryota; Metazoa; Chordata; Mammalia; Rodentia; Sciuridae.
AGUGCCUGAAGUUCUCACCUGGCCACCUCCUAUCUGACCAGCUCCAGUGCCACCAUCUCUGGGGAAGUCACCCAGCACCCUGGGCUCUGUCUCUGCCUCACCAGUAAUCAGUUCCACUGGAACACAGAUCCUGAGUCCCACACCCCCACACGGUGCCAGCCUCCUGCAGAAGGAAGGCGGGUCUUACCUGCCACAGGUUGGUGCGGUUUGGCUGGAACUGGUUCCCCCACGGGUAAACCUGACCUGUCAGGAGGGCAAGGACACAGGCCACAAAGGAGAAACAAAAAGACGGGGAAGAAACAGAAAAUCAGGGAGGGCACCAGAGGGCAGCUGAGUGGUGAGGGAGAGAAGGGAGGCCGUUCACUUCUGCCCCAUGCAGCCCUGCCCGGGGCACUAGCUGACCGCCCGCCCCAGGGCUCUGCAUCCUGCGUGAGUUCUGUGACGGGCUCAAUCUGGAAGCCCUGCUGCUGGUUCCCGUGCAGGGGUUCCUCUGAAGAGUGUGCAGAGGUGUUCAGCUUGGGACGCUGCUGUCCUUCUCGUGACCCCGGCACGGCUAGGACUGCAGCAGGAUGAAGCAGCGAGUGACCAAGGGUCCCGUGCUGCCCCGCCCCUGGACAGGCACGCUGCUUCCCCCAAGCUGUGCUGCUCCCGAAGGAGCUAUCGAAAUCCGACCUACACCUGCGGAGCCUCCGGCAAUAAAAGGUUAGGUCUUUUCAUUUCCCGUUUUCCCGGCACUGCACAGGCGUGUACGUCAGAGGCGGGUCAGCGGUGAAACAACCUGGGGACCCUGGGUUAAGAGGCACUGCGCUCCCUGGCCUUGGAAGCCCCCCAGGCAGGGUGGGAUGUGGAGAACAGAGACGUGGCCUUGACAUUGUACCCUUCAAACCCCCUCGGGCAGCAAACUCCCACUCUUCCUCAGUGGGCAGCCGUUUCCCCCGCCAAGCACAGUAGGCACGGGCAUCGUUCCAGCUCACGUGGACCACGGGGAGCUCCAGUCUCUCACGGAUGCCAGAGCCGGGACCUGCGGGCUGACAGCCAGCACAGGACUGGUGUUCCUGGACGAGUGGCCAAGGGGUCUAGGGAAGACGGCCUCCAGAAUAGGGGCAGGGGUAGAAAAUGAGGUAGAGGAACCAACAUUCACCUGCCUCCAAAAUGCCUUUUCCACUGGACGCCACCAGAGAAGAGACUGCAACACGGAAGACGCAGAAGUGGAAGACGCUGUUACCAGGAAGGCACCUCCCAACAGCCACGAAGCACAAGAGGCUGAGGCGGGGUCCUGGGAGUGUGGCUGGACUCUUAACCGCACCCGCUGGGCAGGUUCCUGCAGGUGCCCUCCUGCCAGCUCCGGAAGCACCCACGCCCUGUCUACCUGGAUUCUCUCAGCUUCGCUACACGCAAGGACCAGCUCAGGCGAGCUCCCAGGAGCACCUGCUCAUCUGACUCUUUUGGGGUGGGCUUCUCCUGCUCCCCUCUGUGGCCUAGUGAUUCUGACCAGGUCCCACUCCGUCCCUCAGCUGUGUGCCAGUUUCUCUCACCUCCAUCUGCUGGGUCGCUUUGUGUCUUAGCUCACUGGAGACAAAGUCCUCAAAGACAAAGCUCCACCCGAACAUCUCAGCUUCCGUCCGGUACUUCUUCUCCCUGACAAACUCCCUGAAGAGAGACAUUUCACUGGUCGACUGGGUUCCGUGCCCAUCCCUACUCACUCUGGGAAACCUCCUAUGUCCUUGUUCUCUAAGUCACACCCCACGGUUCUCAAGAGCUCCAAAUAAUUCACCAGAACGCCUGAGCAGAUCUUCUUGUAAGUUAGGAUAUCAUUUGCAUUUAACACACAGGUUGAAGGAAAGCCCAUGAGUCUCUAGAGUGACUUUCCCACCGUUGGAAUGAUCUGGUGCAUUUCAACAAGCAGACUGUGGGGGACAGAGGGACCGCGUGCCACUGGGCACAGACCCUAACGGCUGGCAAGCAGUCUCACACUGAGUGA